RNAcentral lists this ribosomal RNA (253 nucleotides) under uncultured bacterium. Its description in RNAcentral is "partial 16S ribosomal RNA". It matches the Rfam family "Bacterial small subunit ribosomal RNA", at positions 524 to 776 of the family's 1533-position model. The record is from RNAcentral.
GACGUAGGGCGCGAGCGUUGUCCGGAUUUAUUGGGCGUAAAGAGCUCGUAGGCGGCUUGUCGCGUCGUCCGUGAAAACCUGCGGCUCAACUGCAGGCUGGCGGUCGAUACGGGCAGGCUGGAGUUCGGUAGGGGAGACUGGAAUUCCUGGUGUAGCGGUGAAAUGCAUUGAGAUCGGAAAGAACACCAACGGCGAAAGCACUCUGCUGGGCCGACACUGACACUGAGAGACGAAAGCUAGGGGAGCAAAUGGG